GGGGAUAUGGCGAAAUUGGUAGACGCUACGGACUUAAGGGUUCAAGUCCCUCUAUCCCCA
RNAcentral lists this transfer RNA (60 nucleotides) under Stewartia obovata. RNAcentral's name for it is "tRNA-Leu". It matches the Rfam family "tRNA". Rfam says of the family: Transfer RNA (tRNA) molecules are approximately 80 nucleotides in length. The record is from RNAcentral. RNAcentral also lists the same sequence under 1 other name. Lineage: Eukaryota; Viridiplantae; Streptophyta; Magnoliopsida; Ericales; Theaceae.